ACGGAAGGUAGCAGUGGGGAAUAUUGCACAAUGGGGGAAACCCUGAUGCAGCAACGCCGCGUGAGUGAUGAAGUAUUUCGGUAUGUAAAGCUCUAUCAGCAGGGAAGAAAAUGACGGUACCUGACUAAGAAGCCCCGGCUAACUACGUGCCAGCAGCCGCGGUAAUACGUAGGGGGCAAGCGUUAUCCGGAUUUACUGGGUGUAAAGGGUGCGUAGACGGCUGUGCAAGUCAGAAGUGAAAUCCCGGGGCGUAACCCCGGUGCUGCUUUUGAAACUGUACGGCUAGAGUGCUGGAGGGGCAAGCGGAAUUCCUGGUGUAGCGGUGAAAUGCGUAGAUAUCAGGAGGAACACCGGUGGCGAAGGCGGCUUGCUGGACAGUAACUGACGUUGAGGCACGAAAGCGUGGGGAGCAAACAGGAUUAGAUACCCUGGUA
Molecule: ribosomal RNA, 434 nt
Filed under: uncultured Lachnospiraceae bacterium
Lineage: Bacteria; Bacillati; Bacillota; Clostridia; Lachnospirales; Lachnospiraceae
Description: partial 16S ribosomal RNA
Rfam family: Bacterial small subunit ribosomal RNA
Source: RNAcentral